CUGAUCGCUGGUCUUCUGGGAAGCUUUCGCGGUAUGGGAUGGGGUCGCGUCCUAUCAGCUUGACGGCGGGGUAACGGCCCACCGUGGCUUCGACGGGUAGCCGGCCUGAGAGGGCGACCGGCCACAUUGGGACUGAGAUACGGCCCAGACUCCUACGGGAGGCAGCAGUGGGGAAUAUUGCACAAUGGGCGCAAGCCUGAUGCAGCGACGCCGCGUGAGGGAUGGAGGCCUUCGGGUUGUAAACCUCUUUUAUCGGGGAGCAAGCGAGAGUGAGUUUACCCGUUGAAUAAGCACCGGCUAACUACGUGCCAGCAGCCGCGGUAAUACGUAGGGUGCAAGCGUUAUCCGGAAUUAUUGGGCGUAAAGGGCUCGUAGGCGGUUCGUCGCGUCCGGUGUGAAAGUCCAUCGCUUAACGGUGGAUCCGCGCCGGGUACGGGCGGGCUUGAGUGCGGUAGGGGAGACUGGAAUUCCCGGUGUAACGGUGGAAUGUGUAGAUAU
RNAcentral lists this ribosomal RNA (498 nucleotides) under Bifidobacterium longum subsp. suillum. Its description in RNAcentral is "bacterial SSU rRNA". It matches the Rfam family "Bacterial small subunit ribosomal RNA", at positions 185 to 697 of the family's 1533-position model. Lineage: Bacteria; Bacillati; Actinomycetota; Actinomycetes; Bifidobacteriales; Bifidobacteriaceae. The record is from RNAcentral.